UACAGAGGGUGCGAGCGUUGUUCGGAUUUACUGGGCGUAAAGGGCGCGUAGGCGGCCACCGCAAGUCGGUUGUGAAAUCUCCGGGCUUAACCCGGAAAGGUCAACCGAUACUGCGGGGCUAGAGUGCAGAAGGGGCAACUGGAAUUCUCGGUGUAGCGGUGAAAUGCGUAGAUAUCGAGAGGAACACCUGUGGCGAAGGCGGGUUGCUGGGCUGACACUGACGCUGAAGUGCGAAAGCUAGGGGAGCGAACGGG
Molecule: ribosomal RNA, 254 nt
Filed under: uncultured prokaryote
Description: partial 16S ribosomal RNA
Rfam family: Bacterial small subunit ribosomal RNA
Source: RNAcentral